RNAcentral lists this non-coding RNA (30 nucleotides) under Rattus norvegicus (Norway rat). The record is from RNAcentral. Lineage: Eukaryota; Metazoa; Chordata; Mammalia; Rodentia; Muridae.
UGGGCUAGAAUUCCCUCCCCAUCAGAGUGU